GUGGGGAAUCUUCCGCAAUGGACGAAAGUCUGACGGAGCAACGCCGCGUGAACGAUGACGGCCUUCGGGUUGUAAAGUUCUGUUAUACGGGACGAAUGGUACGACGGCCAAUACCCGUCGUAAGUGUCGGUACCGUAAGAGAAAGCCACGGCUAACUACGUGCCAGCAGCCGCGGUAAUACGUAGGUGGCAAGCGUUGUCCGGAAUUAUUGGGCGUAAAGGGCGCGCAAGCGGCGUCGUAAGUCGGUCUUAAAAGUGCGGGGCUUAACCCCGUGAGGGGACCGAAACUGCGAUGCUAGAGUAUCGGAGAGGAAAGCGGAAUUCCUAGUGUAGCGGUGAAAUGCGUAGAUAUUAGGAGGAACACCAGUGGCGAAAGCGGCUUUCUGGACGACAACUGACGCUGAGGCGCGAAAGCCAGGGGAGCAAACGGGAUUAGAUACCCUAGUAGUCC
RNAcentral lists this ribosomal RNA (450 nucleotides) under uncultured bacterium. RNAcentral describes it as "partial 16S ribosomal RNA". It matches the Rfam family "Bacterial small subunit ribosomal RNA", at positions 354 to 796 of the family's 1533-position model. The record is from RNAcentral.